RNAcentral lists this ribosomal RNA (286 nucleotides) under uncultured bacterium. RNAcentral describes it as "partial 16S ribosomal RNA". It matches the Rfam family "Bacterial small subunit ribosomal RNA", at positions 28 to 314 of the family's 1533-position model. The record is from RNAcentral.
GAUGAACGCUAGCGGCAGGCCUAAUACAUGCAAGCUGAACGGCAAGAUUUGUAGCAAUACGAGUCCUAGAGUAGCGUAAGGGUGCGUAACACGUAUGCAAUCUGCCCGCAACAGGAGGAUAGCUUAGCGAAAGUUGAGAUAAGACUCCAUAAGAUCACGAGAGGGCAUCUGAUUGUGAUUAAACUACAAGGGGUUGCGGAUGAGCAUGCGUCUGAUUAGUUAGUUGGCGGGGUAACGCCCACAAGACGAUGAUCAGUAGGGGAACUGAGAGGUUGGUCCCCACACU